This 608-nucleotide ribosomal RNA is filed under the name uncultured bacterium. RNAcentral's name for it is "bacterial SSU rRNA". It matches the Rfam family "Bacterial small subunit ribosomal RNA", at positions 338 to 944 of the family's 1533-position model. The record is from RNAcentral.
CCUACGGGAGGCAGCAGUAAGGAAUAUUGGUCAAUGGACGCAAGUCUGAACCAGCCAUGCCGCGUGAAGGAUUAAGGCCCUCUGGGUUGUAAACUUCUUUUAUAGGGGACGAAAAAAGGGCAUUCUUGCUCACUUGACGGUACCCUAGGAAUAAGCACCGGCUAGCUCCGUGCCAGCAGCCGCGGUAAUACGGAGGGUGCAAGCGUUAUCCGGAUUUACUGGGUUUAAAGGUGCGUAGGUGGGUUGGUAAGUCAGUGGUGAAAUCUUCGAGCUUAACUCGGAAACUGCCAUUGAUACUAUCAAUCUUGAAUCAUCUAGAGGUAAGCGGAAUAUGUCAUGUAGCGGUGAAAUGCUUAGAUAUGACAUAGAACACCAAUUGCGAAGGCAGCUUACUAUGGAUGCAUUGACACUGAGGCACGAAAGCGUGGGGAUCAAACAGGAUUAGAUACCCUGGUAGUCCACGCCCUAAACGAUGGAUACUCGACAUUUGUGAUAUACAAUAAGUGUCUGAGCGAAAGCAUUAAGUAUCCCACCUGGAAGUACGACCGCAAGGUUGAAACUCAAAUGAAUUGAGGCUGAGAGAGACGAGACGACGACGAGGGAGGAGG